GAUGAACGCUGGCGGCGUGCCUAAUACAUGCAAGUCGAGCGAACAGACGAGGAGCUUGCUCCUCUGACGUUAGCGGCGGACGGGUGAGUAACACGUGGAUAACCUACCUAUAAGACUGGGAUAACUUCGGGAAACCGGAGCUAAUACCGGAUAAUAUAUUGAACCGCAUGGUUCAAUAGUGAAAGACGGUUUUGCUGUCACUUAUAGAUGGAUCCGCGCCGCAUUAGCUAGUUGGUAAGGUAACGGCUUACCAAGGCAACGAUGCGUAGCCGACCUGAGAGGGGGAUCGGCCACACUGGAACUGAGACACGGCCCAGACUCCUAGGGGAGGCAGAAGUAGGGAAUCUUCCGCAAGGGGCGAAAGCUUGACGGAGCAACGCCGCGUGAGUGAUGAAGGUCUUCGGAUCGUAAAACUCUGUUAUUAGGGAAGAACAAAUGUGUAAGUAACUAUGCACGUCUUGACGGUACCGAAUCAGAAAGCCACGGCUAACUACGU
RNAcentral lists this ribosomal RNA (496 nucleotides) under uncultured bacterium. RNAcentral describes it as "partial 16S ribosomal RNA". It matches the Rfam family "Bacterial small subunit ribosomal RNA", at positions 28 to 506 of the family's 1533-position model. The record is from RNAcentral.